CCUACGGGGGGCAGCAGUCGAGAAUCAUUCACAAUGGGGGAAACCCUGAUGGUGCGACGCCGCGUGGGGGAAUGAAGGUCUUCGGAUUGUAAACCCCUGUCAUGUGGGAGCAAAUUAAAAAGAUAGUACCACAAGAGGAAGAGACGGCUAACUCUGUGCCAGCAGCCGCGGUAAUAAAGAGGUCUCAAGCGUUGUUCGGAAUGACUGGGCGUAAAGGGUGCGUAGGCUGUUUCGUAAGUCGUGUGUGAAAGGCGCGGGCUCAACCCGCGGACGGCACAUGAUACUGCGAGACUAGAGUAAUGGAGGGGGAACCGGAAUUCUCGGUGUAGCAGGGAAAUGCGUAGAUAUCGAGAGGAACACUCGUGGCGAAGGCGGGUUCCUGGACAUUAACUGACGCUGAGGCACGAAGGCCAGGGGAGCGAAAGGGAUUAGAUACCCCGGUAGUC
This 446-nucleotide ribosomal RNA is filed under the name uncultured bacterium. RNAcentral's name for it is "partial 16S ribosomal RNA". It matches the Rfam family "Bacterial small subunit ribosomal RNA", at positions 338 to 795 of the family's 1533-position model. The record is from RNAcentral.